This is a long non-coding RNA of Onychostoma macrolepis, 2004 nucleotides long. RefSeq lists it as uncharacterized. Lineage: Eukaryota; Metazoa; Chordata; Actinopteri; Cypriniformes; Cyprinidae. The transcript is spliced from 3 exons. The record is from RefSeq and is a predicted model, not a curated record.
CCAAGAAAUGACAAGAAAUUAGCAGUUAGCAGUAUGCUAGUGUUCCUUUGCAAACACAGAGCGAGACAGGCUGCUGCAGAGAAGGUCUAGGCAAGGUUGAGAGAGACUUUCCAAACAUUAGUAAAAGUAGAGUCUAGUAAAUGCACCACGUCUGUCUUUUUGCUUCCCCCAGGGCUGCUUUCCCCAGCGGGGCCUGCCAUGGGAAAGCACAUCAGACAUAAAGUGCUGGUUCCUGGUUGCUAGCAUUCCCGCAAGAGCUCUAUAAAUAAGCAGCCGCGCUAGCGGGUGCAAGCUGUAGUCACUGAGCCGCAGAAAGACAGAGAGAGAGAAAGAGAGAGUGUGACAGAUGACUCGAGUUGAUGGGACUGCAGAGGGAAAACCCUGAUGUGUCCUCUACACACCAACACAAGGGCAAACGCAUUGUCACCCUGACUAGCGCUGCCCAGGGAAAACACGGCUGAGAGGCUAAUGGCCUGAGAGAGGCCCUGGACAUUCAUUCACACAACUCAGUUGUGGACGAGACCCCCGUAAUCAGAGGACAGGAGAGAGGAACGAGGCCUCGGAGACAGAGGGACACCGAAAGAAUUAGCGAGGUCGGUGGUGUGCUCCGGCAGGUGAGGGGGGAUUUUGGUGAGUUUGAGGUUGGAGCAGUCCACCACUGUUCCCUCACACCGACAGCGCUCGGGACAAACCAGGUCCUGGAAACACUCGCCACUGAGACGACUGCGAUAACAGCGUCAUUGAGCAAGAGGUCAGGUAUUGGAGGUCUGGCACUACGAAGUGUUUUGACAGGAAAACACAGGCAGUUUCUGCGUAACACGAGCUUCUGGCCGCCCGCGAUAAGUCUGCUUCCCAUCAGCCAUCACUCGCCUGCCACUGUUUAUCUUAUUCCCACCAUCUCCGUUCGGCUGCCCUGAUGCUUCCAGCCAAACGUCUACGAGAGCGACCUUAAAGCAAAAACGCAGACGCAGAACACGGCUAGAGCUCCUCAUAAGCGAUCCGUUGUUCCUGGGUUAAAGAACACCACCUUCACUCCUCACGGCGGCAAAGACAGCUGCCACCGCACAUAUCCCAGAAUGCCAUGCUGUGUGCGAGUGUGUCCAGCGGUCCCUGGUGCUUGACGGAACCAUGUGAGGCUUGUGUAGGCGGCGGCACAUGGUUAGAUCAAGCACAAGAGACAGCUGCACCAGAGGCCAGAGUGGAGGAGCGGAGCGGGACGGAGAGGUGGGGAGGAGGAGGAGGAGGAAGGAGCAGCCAGGACACAGCAGCCAGGAAGCCGCCCAGAACUCUGGGCCACCAUGCACACAGGCGGGCCGGCCCCUUUCCCUCAUCCCAGCAUGGACAAUAGCCCACUGGGAAUUACAAGCCCGAAAAGACAGACAGACAGACAGACAGACAGACAGACAGGGACUAGAAAGACACACAUAAAGACAUCACAGAGGAGAAAGGAAUGGAGCAAAGCCCUCUGCAACCACACAUACACACACGACCGUAGCCAGGGUUUGAAAAUUAGUGAGGUCCAAAUACAACUCAUUAUAUACACUAACACUUUAAAACAGACAAGAGAUGAUGUAGAUGUUCGUGAAAGAUGUUUCCUCUGUUUUGGAGGGGUGAACAUAUUUAUUGCAUCAAAACCUAUUUUACUAUAGGUUAGGGGUAUUCAUUAAUAGCAAUUGCUUUAUAGAUGGUGCUCUUACGAAUGUUUUUAGCAUGAUUUGUGAAAAUUUAACUACUAUAGCUACUGAAUGACAUAGCGUAGACUUCUUCACGGCUAGUGUUUGCGUAUAGGCUAUUUAAUUUCAUUCUGUAACCUGCUUGUUCUACAGAUCUGUGUACUGGUGUUAAAUGCUACUGUUUUUGACAUUUCAUGAUAUUUUUUUUUUUGCGUUUCUCUUGCUGAAUGUGCUAUCCUGACAGCAAUAACCUGUCCGUGGGCUUUUUUGAUCACUGUCAGUUCAAGUGCUGGCGAUGCAGUGUUGCCAAAUAUUGCUAUAAAAACAAAUA